GAUGAACGCUGGCGGCGUGCCUAAUACAUGCAAGUCGAGCGAACGGACGAGAAGCUUGCUUCUCUGAUGUUAGCGGCGGACGGGUGAGUAACACGUGGAUAACCUACCUAUAAGACUGGGAUAACUUCGGGAAACCGGAGCUAAUACCGGAUAAUAUUUUGAACCGCAUGGUUCAGAAGUGAAAGACGGUCUUGCUGUCACUUAUAGAUGGAUCCGCGCUGCAUUAGCUAGUUGGUAAGGUAACGGCUUACCAAGGCAACGAUGCAUAGCCGACCUGAGAGGGUGAUCGGCCACACUGGAACUGAGACACGGUCCAGACUCCUACGGGAGGCAGCAGUAGGGAAUCUUCCGCAAUGGGCGAAAGCCUGACGGAGCAACGCCGCGUGAGUGAUGAAGGUCUUCGGAUCGUAAAACUCUGUUAUUAGGGAAGAACAUAUGUGUAAGUAACUGUGCACAUCUUGACGGUACCUAACCAGAAAGCCACGGCUAACUACGUG
This 497-nucleotide ribosomal RNA is filed under the name uncultured bacterium. Its description in RNAcentral is "partial 16S ribosomal RNA". It matches the Rfam family "Bacterial small subunit ribosomal RNA", at positions 28 to 507 of the family's 1533-position model. The record is from RNAcentral.